GAGUUUGAUUCAUGGCUCAGAAGUGAACGCUGGCGGCGUGCCUAAUACAUGCAAGUCGAACGGACAAGUAAGAGCUUGCUCUUAUGAGUUAGUGGCGCACGGGUGAGUAAUGUAUAGCUAAUCUACCCUACACUAGAGGACAACAGUUGGAAACGGCUGCUAAUACUCUAUACUCCUGUCUUACAUAAGUUAGAUAGGGAAAGUUUUUCGGUGUAGGAUGAGGCUAUAUUGUAUCAGCUAGUUGGUGAGGUAAUGGCUCACCAAGGCUAUGACGCAUAACUGGUCUGAGAGGAUGAUCAGUCACACUGGAACUGAGACACGGUCCAGACUCCUACGGGAGGCAGCAGUAGGGAAUAUUGCUCAAUGGGGGAAACCCUGAAGCAGCAACGCCGCGUGGAGGAUGACACUUUUCGGAGCGUAAACUCCUUUUGUUAGGGAAGAACAAUGACGGUACCUAACGAAUAAGCACCGGCUAACUCCGUGCCAGCAGCCGCGGUAAUACGGAGGGUGCAAGCGUUACUCGGAAUCACUGGGCGUAAAGGACGCGUAGGCGGAUUAUCAAGUCUCUUGUGAAAUCCUGUGGCUUAACCAUAGAACUGCUUGGGAAACUGGUAAUCUAGAGUGAGGGAGAGGCAGAUGGAAUUGGUGGUGUAGGGGUAAAAUCCGUAGAGAUCACCAGGAAUACCCAUUGCGAAGGCGAUCUGCUGGAACUCAACUGACGCUAAUGCGUGAAAGCGUGGGGAGCAAACAGGAUUAGAUACCCUGGUAGUCCACGCCCUAAACGAUGUAUACUAGUUGUUGCUAAGCUAGUCUUGGCAGUAAUGCACCUAACGGAUUAAGUAUACCGCCUGGGGAGUACGGUCGCAAGAUUAAAAUCAAAGGAAUAGAGGGGAACCGGCACAAGCGGUGGAGCAUGUGGUUUAAUUCGAAGAUACGGAAAGAACUUUACCCGGACUUGAUUUCUAACGAAUUCAUCUAGAGAAUAAAAGAAGUUUUGGCUUGCAAGAAAAUGUUAGAACGGGUGCUGCACGAGCUGUCGUCGAGCUCGUGUCGUGAGAUGUUGGGUUAGUUCCCGCGAACGGGCGCGACCCACGUCGUUAGUUGCUGAACGGUUCGGCUGAGUACUCUAAUGAGACUGCCUUUCGGUAAGGAGGAGAAAGGUGUGGACG
This 1169-nucleotide ribosomal RNA is filed under the name uncultured bacterium. RNAcentral's name for it is "bacterial SSU rRNA". It matches the Rfam family "Bacterial small subunit ribosomal RNA", at positions 9 to 1181 of the family's 1533-position model. The record is from RNAcentral.